GGGUAGGUAGCGCGUAAGUGGAAGCGCCCUGGACUGUAAAUCCAGUGUCUCAGACCUUGGAGGUUCGAUCCCUCCCCUGCCCACCA
This 86-nucleotide transfer RNA is filed under the name Vibrio alginolyticus. RNAcentral's name for it is "tRNA-Tyr". It matches the Rfam family "tRNA". From Rfam's summary of the family: Transfer RNA (tRNA) molecules are approximately 80 nucleotides in length. Their secondary structure includes four short double-helical elements and three loops (D, anti-codon, and T loops). Further hydrogen bonds mediate the characteristic L-shaped molecular structure. tRNAs have two regions of fundamental functional importance: the anti-codon, which is responsible for specific mRNA codon recognition, and the 3' end, to which the tRNAs corresponding amino acid is attached (by aminoacyl-tRNA synthetases). tRNAs cope with the degeneracy of the genetic code in two manners: having more than one tRNA (with a specific anti-codon) for a particular amino acid; and 'wobble' base-pairing, i.e. permitting non-standard base-pairing at the 3rd anti-codon position. Lineage: Bacteria; Pseudomonadati; Pseudomonadota; Gammaproteobacteria; Vibrionales; Vibrionaceae. RNAcentral also lists the same sequence under 8 other names. The record is from RNAcentral.